This is a long non-coding RNA of Camarhynchus parvulus, 566 nucleotides long. RefSeq lists it as uncharacterized. NCBI's taxonomy places the organism in Eukaryota, Metazoa, Chordata, Aves, Passeriformes, Thraupidae. The record is from RefSeq and is a predicted model, not a curated record. The transcript is spliced from 3 exons.
CUCGGGGUUAUGGUGGCUGCCUUUCUGAGGGGCACAAUAGAAUGUGUCCAGGCUUUUCUGUAAAAUAAGCUUUGAAGAGAUCAAACUUGGCAAUGGGCACUUGUGACUGCUGCUUGGUUAAAUAAGAUCUCUGAAGAUAACAUUCUUUAAUCGCCAAAGAUGAGAGCUGUUGCAGUGCUAGAGGAGGUGCUGCUGUCCAUUGAGAAUGAGCUGCAAGCAGUGGAGAUGCAGAUCCAGGAGCUUGUGGAUAAGCAGCAGGAGCUCCUUCAAAAGAAGAUGAGAGUGAAGAAUCUGAUAAAACAGUCCUCAGGAGACUUGGAGGCAGGUGGAAGUAAAGACACUGAAACCUCAGCUGAGGAAUGGAACAAAAAAGGUUUGCAGAGUCAAAGUCUAAUAUUUUAAAAGAAAGGUGAACUAAUCCAGUAGGGGAAAAUGCACUUAUACAGAGUUUUGUUCGGAUAAUGAUAUUGUCCCAUUUAAUUUUAAUCAGAUGGCUGACAUGCCAGCGUAAUGGGGUAAUGUUUGUACUUGUCUCACUGGACAUUCCUAAACACUAAUCUUGAGUU